AAUUAGAGAGGUGGAAAGGAGAAUUAAUUUUGUUUUGAGAGGUGGAAUUCGGAUAAUUGAGAUUAUAUUAUAUGUUUUCUUUUGCUUGAUUUUUCGAAAAAUUGGUUAGAGACCGGGAUUAGAUACCCCGUUAUUUUUUUUGUAAAUUUUAAUUAGUAAAUCAAUUUACCGGAGUAUUACGGGUUGGGUUAGGUAUAACUGGAGAGGCAUUACCCAUGCAACUUAAAACUCAAAAAACUUGGCGGUGCCUUAUUUCCUUCCAGGGGAACCUGUCCUGUAAUCGAUGGUCCGCGAUUUAGCUUACUUUUUUUUGUAUGGUCGUUGGACUAGAACAGUUUGUAUACCGUCGUCGUCAGAUUACCUUUAANAGAAUAAGAAGUUGUCGGAUAAAGUGGGGCAUAGAAUUUACCGAGUCAUUAGGUAACUCUAAUAUAAUGGUUUAAAAUGCUAAUUUUUGAUGUCAGAUCAAGGUGCAGCUUAUAAAAAAGUAGAGAUGGGUUACAUUAUGAAUUUCAUUAUGGAUUUUAAUUUGUAAUAUUUAUCUGAAAUUGGACUUGGGAGUAAUAUAUUUGUGUAUUCUUUGUAAAUUAGAAAGUUUAUGUGAACAUGGUACUAAGGUGCGU
This 623-nucleotide ribosomal RNA is filed under the name Chlorodiloma adelaidae. RNAcentral describes it as "partial 12S ribosomal RNA". Lineage: Eukaryota; Metazoa; Mollusca; Gastropoda; Trochida; Trochidae. The record is from RNAcentral.